This 495-nucleotide ribosomal RNA is filed under the name uncultured bacterium. RNAcentral's name for it is "partial 16S ribosomal RNA". It matches the Rfam family "Bacterial small subunit ribosomal RNA", at positions 28 to 507 of the family's 1533-position model. The record is from RNAcentral.
GACGAACGCUGGCGGCGUGCCUAAUACAUGCAAGUAGAACGCUGAAGGAGUAGCUUGCUCUUCUGGAUGAGUUGCGAACGGGUGAGUAACGCGUAGGUAACCUGCCCUGUAGCUGGGGAUAACUAUUGGAAACGAUAGCUAAUACCGCAUAAGAGUAGAUGUUGCAUGACAUUUACUUAAAAGUUGCAACUGCAUCACUACCAGAUGGACCUGCGCUGCAUUAGCUAGUUGGUGCGGUAACGGCUUACCAAGGCGACGAUACAUAGCCGACCGGAGAGGGGGAUCGGCCACACUGGGACUGUGACACGGCCCAGACUCCUACGGGAGGCAGCAGUAGGGAAUCUUCGGCAAUGGGCGGAAGACUGACCGAGCAACGCCGCGUGCGUGAAGAAGGUCUUCGGAUCGUAAAGCACUGUUGUAAGAGAAGAACGAGUGUGAGAGUGGAAAGAUCACAGUGUGACGGUAACUGAUCAGAAAGCGACGGCUAACUACGUG